Molecule: ribosomal RNA, 792 nt
Filed under: uncultured organism
Description: bacterial SSU rRNA
Rfam family: Bacterial small subunit ribosomal RNA
Source: RNAcentral
CCUGAUGAGAGUGGCGAACGGGUGAGUAACACGUAGGUGAUCUACCUAGAAGUUGGGGAUAGGCGGUGGAAACACAGGGUAAUACCGAAUGAGCCUAUAUACAUACGUGUAUGUAGGGAAAGAGGCUCAGGCCUCGCUUGUAGUUGAGCCUGCGGCUCAUUAGCUAGUUGGGAGGGUAAAGGCCUACCAAGGCGACGAUGAGUAGCCGACCUGAGAGGGUGGGCGGUCACACUGGGACUGAGACACGGCCCAGACUGCGCGACNGGAGGCAGCAGCUAAGAAUCUUCCGCAAUGGUCGAAAGGCUGACGGUGCGACGCCGCGUGGACGAAGAAGGCCGGAAGGUUGUAAAGUUCUUUUCUCAGAGAAGAAUAAGGUGAGGAGGGAAUGCCUCAUUGAUGACGUUAUCUGAGGAAUAAGCCCCGGCUAAUUACGUGCCAGCAGCCGCGGUAACACGUAAGGGGCGAGCGUUGUUCGGAAUUAUUGGGCGUAAAGGGCGCGUAGGCGGCUGAACAAGCCUGGUGUGAAAGGCCACAGCUUAACUGUGGGAGUGCGCUGGGAACUGUUUGGCUAGAGUUCAGGAGGGGAAGCUGGAAUUCCUGGUGUAGGGGUGAAAUCUGUAGAUAUCAGGAAGAACACCUGUGGCGAAGGCGAGCUUCUGGCCAUGAACUGACGCUGAGGCGCGAAAGCGUGGGGAGCGAACAGGAUUAGAUACCCUGGUAGUCCACGCUGUAAACGAUGUGCACUAGGUGUUGGUUGUAGAAAUGAUCGGUGCCGAAGCAAACGCGAUAAGU